This 510-nucleotide ribosomal RNA is filed under the name uncultured bacterium. Its description in RNAcentral is "partial 16S ribosomal RNA". It matches the Rfam family "Bacterial small subunit ribosomal RNA", at positions 28 to 507 of the family's 1533-position model. The record is from RNAcentral.
GACGAACGCUGGCGGCGUGCUUAACACAUGCAAGUCGAACGAAGAGCGACGGAAGCUUGCUUCUAUCAAUCUUAGUGGCGAACGGGUGAGUAACGCGUAAUCAACCUGCCCUUCAGAGGGGGACAACAGUUGGAAACGACUGCUAAUACCGCAUACGAUCUAACCUCGGCAUCGAGGAUAGAUGAAAGGUGGCCUCUACAUGUAAGCUAUCACCGAAGGAGGGGAUUGCGUCUGAUUAGCUAGUUGGAGGGGUAACGGCCCACCAAGGCGAUGAUCAGUAGACGGUCUGAGAGGACGAACGGCCACAUUGGGACUGAGACACGGCCCAGACUCCUACGGGAGGCAGCAGUGGGGAAUCUUCCGCAAUGGACGAAAGUCUGACGGAGCAACGCCGCGUGAGUGAUGACGGCCGUCGGGUUGUAAAGGUCUGUUAAUCGGGACGAAAGGCCUUCUUGCGAAUAGUGAGAAGGAUUGACGGUACCGGAAUAGAAAGCCACGGCUAACUACGUG